GCUUGCUGCAUGCUUUAUACAUGCAAGUCGAACGAAGGCCCUAGCUUGCUAGGUGUCCUUAGUGGCGCACGGGUGAGUAACACGUGGGAACAUACCUUAUAGUACGGAAUAACUGCGGGAAACUGUAGCUAAUACCGUAUAUUCCAGUAAUGGGAAAGAUUUAUCGCUAUAAGAUUGGCCCGCGCAAGAUUAGCUUGUUGGUGAGGUAAGAGCUCACCAAGGCUUCGAUCUUUAGCUGGUUUGAGAGGAUGAUCAGCCACACUGGGACUGAGACACGGCCCAGACUCCUACGGGAGGCAGCAGUAGGGAAUAUUGGACAAUGGGGGCAACCCUGAUCCAGCAAUGCAGCGUGAGUGACGAAGGCCUUAGGGUUGUAAAACUCUUUCAUCGGUGAGGAUAAUGACAGUAGCCGAAGAAGAAGGACCGGCUAAUUCCGUGCCAGCAGCCGCGGUAAUACGGAAGGUCCUAGCGUUGUUCGGAAUUACUGGGCGUAAAGCGCAUGUAGGCGGAACAGAAAGUUAGAAGUGAAAUCCCUGGGCUCAACCUAGGAAUUGCUUUUAAAACUUCUGUUCUGGAAUUCAGGAGAGGAAAAUGGAAUUUCCAGUGUAGAGGUGAAAUUCGUAGAUAUUGGAAGGAACACCAGUGGCGAAGGCGAUUUUCUGGACUGAUAUUGACGCUGAGAUGCGAAGGCAUGGGUAGCAAACGGGAUUAGAUACCCCGGUAGUCCAUGCAGUAAACGAUGGGUGCUAGUCGUCGGACUCUUGUUCGGUGUCGUAGCUAACGCGUUAAGCACCCCGCCUGGGGAGUACGGU
Molecule: ribosomal RNA, 812 nt
Filed under: uncultured Alphaproteobacteria bacterium
Lineage: Bacteria; Pseudomonadati; Pseudomonadota; Alphaproteobacteria
Description: bacterial SSU rRNA
Rfam family: Bacterial small subunit ribosomal RNA
Source: RNAcentral